RNAcentral lists this long non-coding RNA (255 nucleotides) under Carica papaya (papaya). Its description in RNAcentral is "long non-coding RNA (CPAP_LNC014667)". The record is from RNAcentral. Lineage: Eukaryota; Viridiplantae; Streptophyta; Magnoliopsida; Brassicales; Caricaceae.
UUUGUUUCAGCACAAGCAUUCUCCGCCAAUGGCCUGCGCGGCUUUUUAGAUUUUGAACCGUAAGAAUCGGCGCGUUCUUGGCAUCUGACGGUGGCGAAGGCUUGUUGUGUCGAUCUCUAAACUUGAUCGCGCUAAGAACGCACCGAUUCCUUAUUUCGUCGUUGCGUUCAAAUUCCCAAAAGCAACGGAAGCUAUUCUUGAAGGCUGUUCGUGCUACGAAAGCAACUUCUUCAACUUUUUCGAAAAAUACCCAUU